AAUGAUGGUUUUGUCGCUUUUCAUUAUAGGUCAUAUGGGACUUUUUGUAUACACUCAAAAAGGCUUAAGAACAUGCUUGAAAAAUGCUCUUAAGCC
RNAcentral lists this non-coding RNA (96 nucleotides) under Streptococcus varani. Its description in RNAcentral is "Streptococcus RNA 266". It matches the Rfam family "Streptococcus RNA 266". Lineage: Bacteria; Bacillati; Bacillota; Bacilli; Lactobacillales; Streptococcaceae. The record is from Rfam by way of RNAcentral.